UGUUUGCUUUAUGUGCUUGAUGUUUGCAGGAAAUUUUUGAGGCAGAGUUUAUAACAUUGAUUUAGGAGGCAAAGUUUGAUUACAAAGACGACGCAGAAGAUAGGAAGAUCAAGGAUGUUAGAGUGGAAUAGAUUUUUUUGAUAAUUAUAAUUGAUGGCAUUAAAUUCUGCAAACAAGGGAGUUGAAAUGGAUGACCAAGACUGCGAAGUUUCGAGACAUUGAUGAAUGAAUUCUCAUUUGUACUUACCAUUUUGAGAGGUGUCUAGAAGGUAUCCUUUCAAACAAUAUAAUAGGUAAAUACUUAUUUGUAUGAGUAUACAUGGAAGUUAUCCUUACCAUGUAUGAGUUUUCUGUGAGUUGCCUAGAUUGUAUUCCUGUAUUAGCUUAGUUGUAGAUCAAUUGCUUUAGUUACUUUCAUUGUGCAUAUAGCCUAUGUAUUCUGUCUGCUAGAUUGAAACCAAAUUUAAAAAUACUUAUUUGAUAUGAAGUGGUUAAAGAAUCUUGCCGUUUCCAAAUCUUUUCGCGGAUAAGCAUUUUUUAAUUUGGUUUUGUGGUCGUAUCUCGGCAUCACCACAUUUGUUGCUUGCUUGGUGGUCAAAAACUCAUGUUAUCUGAUUCUUUAAUUUCCCUUGAUAUCUUAAGCUGUACUUAAAUUAUUCUUUCCUCCAAUAUGCUGUAGUGAAGAGUUGAUGACAAAGAUAAAUGGAUUGAUUACAAGGGUAGAAUGCAUGCAUGUAUGAGCAGUUGUAAGUAAAGUCAUAUUUAUUUUUGUUCGUUUAAGGAUUUUUAAGUAUAGUUUGCUUUGAAUUAAGAUUUUUUGAUCAAUAUGCUUUGAAUUAAGAUGUUCAGGCAUACCACCGGUAGCUUUAGGACCAUUACUCUGGGGUUUAUGAUGUGAAAGUGGCUGUUUAGCUAGCUUAGAUGUUAUCAUAAGUACUCUUGGAUGUUACCAUGAUCGUACUGCUCUGUAUAUUCAACUGUUUGCACGAUAGAAAAGUUCAUGGUGUUAAAUUAAGAUGGGAAUGGUCCCUAGAUGUGUAGAUUGCAUUGGAAAAAUUAUCAUAAAAUUGGUACAUAGUUACCGAGAGAUCCUUAAAAAAUAUGGAUUUGCUCAGUUGUAUAUUUAUGAUACCGGCAGGGAGGUAUAAUUAAUAUAUAUAAAACAUGUUCUUUCGAGAAGUAAGUCAAGCCAUGCAACAACUCCAGUAAGCCAGGAAAUGGUGAUCUACCUCGCUUUUUAGGGUGGGGAGAUGGAACUGAAAAUGAAUUUUUCACCCUUCAACAUCUUCGUAAGUAUAUACUUUGGGCGAAACCAAAAGUAGCAUAUUAAAUCCCAUGGUCUCUCUCUGAUUCAGUUGAUUGUAUUGUGGUCGAAAUUGAUAAGUUUACUAUUGAUCGUGUCAACAAGAGUGGAGCUAUUUUUGAUUUAACAAGGUAAACUGUCUCCACUUCUCUCUGCAUUUUUAUCAAGUCAUUCCAUUUCUCAACCUGUAAGCCUGAGCUAUAUUACAAACAAACUAAUGUUGCAUUGGGGCAAGAAGAAGUGCAACAGAAGGACCUUGCUUCUGCGAAAAACCAAAACAAGAAAACCGUCUUCACUGUCGAUGGAUUUAUGAAUCCCUAUAAUGGUUACAUCAGUUAUGCAGCUGGUCCUUAUGGAGGAAUGUUCGCUCAAAAUCAGAACCCCUUUGGUGGUUGUUCAGGGUAUGCAUUGCCAGAUGCUCUAUCUCAGAUGAAUAAAAGGAGCAGAGUUACACCAUGUCAUGGGGAUUGGAGUCACGUCGAUGAUAAGGAUGAAGAGAGGAAUUAUCAGAAGAAUAGAUCAUGGCAUACGUCUUCAGUUUCAUGUUACACAAAGUAGGGGGGAAAGUUGUUCAGUAUGUUGCAAAAUCAGAGAAGAGUGUAAAUUAGGAUAUUAUGUAAUUUGUGGGCAGUAUGCAAAGAAUUACAAUGAUAUUAUGUAAUUUGUGGGCUGUAUGUAAAUUAUUCAAAGAUAUUCAUCGAACCAUUAUUUAUAUACUACAAAUGGGAAGGGUGAACUCCUAAUUUAAU
Molecule: long non-coding RNA, 2052 nt
Organism: Papaver somniferum (opium poppy)
Lineage: Eukaryota; Viridiplantae; Streptophyta; Magnoliopsida; Ranunculales; Papaveraceae
Exons: 3
Source: RefSeq, a predicted model, not a curated record